AUACGUAGGUGGCAAGCGUUGUCCGGAAUUACUGGGUGUAAAGGGAGCGCAGGCGGGCGUGCAAGUCAGCUGUGAAAUCCAUGGGCUUAACCCGUGGGCUGCAGUUGAAACUGUAUGUCUUGAGUGAAGUAGAGGUAGGCGGAAUUCCGAGUGUAGCGGUCAAAUGCGUAGAUAUUCGGAGGAACACCGGUGGCGAAGGCGGCCUACUGGGCUUUAACUGACGCUGAGGCUCGAAAGUGUGGGGAGCAAACAGGAUUAGAUACCCUGGUAGUCCACACUGUAAACGAUGAUUGCUAGGUGUGGGGGGUCUGACCCCUUCCGUGCCGCAGUUAACGCAAUAAGCAAUCCACCUGGGGAGUACGGCCGCAAGGCUAAAACUCAAAUGAAUUGACGGGG
Molecule: ribosomal RNA, 396 nt
Filed under: uncultured bacterium
Lineage: Bacteria
Description: partial 16S ribosomal RNA
Rfam family: Bacterial small subunit ribosomal RNA
Source: RNAcentral